This 520-nucleotide ribosomal RNA is filed under the name uncultured Archaeospora. Its description in RNAcentral is "SSU rRNA". It matches the Rfam family "Eukaryotic small subunit ribosomal RNA", at positions 569 to 1091 of the family's 1831-position model. The record is from RNAcentral. Lineage: Eukaryota; Fungi; Glomeromycota; Glomeromycetes; Archaeosporales; Archaeosporaceae.
AGCAGCCGCGGUAAUUCCAGCUCCAAUAGCGUAUAUUAAAGUUGUUGCAGUUAAAAAGCUCGUAGUUGAAUUUUGGAUUCUUCCAAUUGGUCGAUCUUUUAGAUGAGUACUGGUUGUGUGGGGUCUAUCCGCCUGGUGAUACGUAAUGUCCUUUAUUGGAUGUUGCGGGUAGUCAGGACCUUUACCUUGAAAAAUUAGAGUGUUUAAAGCAGGCUUAUGCCGGAAUACAUUAGCAUGGAAUAAUAGAAUAGGACGAAGUUGUUUUAUUUUGUUGGUUUCUAGGACAACCGUAAUGAUUAAUAGGGAUAGUUGGGGGCAUUAGUAUUCAAUUGUCAGAGGUGAAAUUCUUGGAUUUAUUGAAGACUAACUACUGCGAAAGCAUUUGCCAAGGAUGUUUUCAUUAAUCAAGAACGAAAGUUAGGGGAUCGAAGACGAUCAGAUACCGUCGUAGUCUUAACCAUAAACUAUGCCGACUAGGGAUCGGGCGAUGUUGUUUUCCAUGACUCGCUCGGCACCUUAU